AAAGUUUUCCGAAAAGAUGGUGUGGCUGGGUUUUACAGGGGAUGUGCUACAAAUCUAUUAAGAACAACUCCAUCAGCUGUGAUUACGUUUACAAGUUAUGAAAUGAUUAAUCGAUUCUUGCAACAUGUUCUUCCCCCUCAUAAAACUAAAACCCCUUCAAAACCAGGCGAUGGAAAGAUGAAACCCCCUCAAAAAGUUGCAGGAAAUGAUGUGAAUGAUUUACAGAUAUCAAAAAUGAGAUCGAAUAAUCAUCAUAGCACGAGAACUUUUAUACCUUUGGGGAAUCAAGAUCCUAUCGAGUGACUCAAUUUUUGAU
Molecule: long non-coding RNA, 316 nt
Filed under: Lactuca sativa (garden lettuce)
Lineage: Eukaryota; Viridiplantae; Streptophyta; Magnoliopsida; Asterales; Asteraceae
Description: long non-coding RNA (LSAT_LNC008034)
Source: RNAcentral